Molecule: long non-coding RNA, 447 nt
Organism: Alligator mississippiensis (American alligator)
Lineage: Eukaryota; Metazoa; Chordata; Crocodylia; Alligatoridae
Exons: 3
Source: RefSeq, a predicted model, not a curated record
ACCCUCAUCCAGCCUGCAGGCUGAACUCUGCCAACCGCUGCUCUACAGAGUGCAUCUUCAUCCCCUGAGGAAGAUGCUCCCCAGAAUAAGCCUUCAACAUACUGGAGAGAAUCAGGGGCAGAAGACCCAGAGCUGAGGACCUGGAUCAGCAUGGCUCUCUGGAAGGACUUGUGACCAGCAUUCUACCAUAGGAGGCCUUGUGUCUAAUGUCCUAGUUGCCUAAGAACCAGAAAGUGAAUGACUAGAAACAAGAUGUGAAACUGGCCAGACUACUUUCACCAGCUGCGGAGACAAGCAGAGAAAAGAAAUAGCAUCAAAGAUGGAAAGUAAACUGAGCUUGAAAGCAUGAGUGCUAUAAUCAGUAGUAACAUUAUUUGGGUUUUUUUUCAAAUAGUUACAGUUUUUCUAAUGUACAGUGUUACUAAUAAAACAAAGAAAUGCCUUAUA